This 789-nucleotide long non-coding RNA is filed under the name Marmota monax (woodchuck). Lineage: Eukaryota; Metazoa; Chordata; Mammalia; Rodentia; Sciuridae. The record is from RNAcentral.
GGGACUUCUUAUUUCUCUGCACGUGUUUGAUUGACAUGAUUGCAUGGCUGCGUAUUAGUUUUUUUCUUUUCUGUUUUAAGUUCACAUAUUCUCAUUGGUUUUUAAGAGGACAUAUAUCACAUUUUCUGAAUAGGUAAUAUGGUUUCAUCAUUUGAAAUUAAAAAGGACAAGAGGACACAGAGUGAAAAACUUCUUACUCUUAUCCCCAGUGGCCCUCUCCUCCCUAGAGGCAACAAGUAUUACAGUUUCUCCUGUACCCUUCCAGGGACCUUCUCUGAAUAAACAGGUAACACGUGCAUGGUAUUUGCCCUUCUUUUACACAGAGGAUAAACUCUGUAGUAUUCUGUACUUUGCUUUUCUUUCAGAUAUAGCUGGCCAGUAGUUCCAUGUCAGUACAUAAAGGAUUUGCUCUUUGUUACUGCUACCUAUUAUUUCAUUCUAUAUUUGCCCCAUGAUUUACUUUUCCAGCCUGUAUUUUACUUUUUUGUAUGUGUGCUGGGAACCCAUGUCCAUUCCUCAUGCAGGGUAUGCUCUGUCAUUGAGCUGACCUCCAGCUCUCCAGUCUAUUUCUGAUGAAAGUCUGGUUGCUUUUACUGUUAAAACAUUGCUACAGUGGACACCCGUGCACAUCCAUCAUUAGAGAAAAGACCCUUUAAAAAUACUGUGACUUAGAGCUGGAAUUGUGGCUCAGUGGUAGAGCGCUCGCCUAGCACGGGCGGGACCCAAAUUUGAUUCUCAGCACCACACAAAAUAAAUAAAGGCAUUGUGUUGUGUCCAUCUACAAAAAAG